RNAcentral lists this ribosomal RNA (253 nucleotides) under uncultured bacterium. RNAcentral describes it as "partial 16S ribosomal RNA". It matches the Rfam family "Bacterial small subunit ribosomal RNA", at positions 524 to 776 of the family's 1533-position model. The record is from RNAcentral.
UACGGAGGGGGCUAGCGUUGUUCGGAAUUACUGGGCGUAAAGCGCACGUAGGCGGCUUUGCAAGUUAGAGGUGAAAGCCCGGGGCUCAACUCCGGAAUUGCCUUUAAAACUGCAUCGCUAGAAUUGUGGAGAGGUAAGUGGAAUUCCGAGUGUAGAGGUGAAAUUCGUAGAUAUUCGGAAGAACACCAGUGGCGAAGGCGACUUACUGGACACAUAUUGACGCUGAGGUGCGAAAGCGUGGGGAACAAACAGG